CGGAGGGUGCAAGCGUUGCUCGGAAUUACUGGGCGUAAAGCGUACGCAGGCUGUCCAUCAAGUCGGGUGUGAAAUCCCGGGGCUCAACCCCGGAAUUGCGCCCGAAACUGAUGGGCUUGAGUGCGGGAGAGGGAAGCGGAAUUCCUGGUGUAGAGGUGAAAUUCGUAGAUAUCAGGAGGAACACCGGUGGCGAAAGCGGCUUCCUGGCCCGACACUGACGCUCAUGUACGAAAGCGUGGGGAGCAAACAGGAUUAGAUACCCUGGUAGUCCACGCCGUAAACGAUGAGUGCUAGCUGCUGGGAAUGUCUACCGUCUCAGUGGCGAAGCUAACGCAUUAAGCACUCCGCCUGGGAAGUACGGCCGCAAGGCUA
Molecule: ribosomal RNA, 372 nt
Filed under: uncultured organism
Description: bacterial SSU rRNA
Rfam family: Bacterial small subunit ribosomal RNA
Source: RNAcentral